AGGUCGCUGCCGGGCCGGCCCGGGUGCCCGGCGUCAAGGUGAGGGCGUCCCGAAGACCGGCGUUUCCCGUUAGACGCAGGCGAGGCCCCUCCCCCCGGCCAACACUCACUGACGGACUCCACCGCCUCCAGCCGCCCGCGGGCCGGGGCCUCUGAACAGCUGGCCUCCAACGCGAACGAAAGGCGCCAAGCGCGUCAGAGCCGACAUGCCAGCCGGCGUCCGGAGAGCCCCUCUCAGGCCGCCCCGCCUUCCGCGUCACUUCCGCCGGCGCCCCGGCCCGUGACGUCACGGCGUCGCCCCGCCGGUGACGUAUGGGGGCGGUGUUCUCCCGCCUCGCCUGCCGCCUCCCUCCGCUCCUGCGACAACCUCCCGACGGCUUCUUUCAGGUCUUCGUUGUUUGUUGUUCUGCAAACUCGAACACGAGCCUGCGCCAGUGGUUCCCGAGUAUCAGUAGGAGACAGAGAGAGGCAGAGACACGGGCAGAGGGAGAAGCAGGCUUCUCGCAGGGAGCCUGAUGCAGGACUCAAUCCUGGAUCCUGGGAUCACGACCUGAGCCGAAGGCAGACGCCCAACCGCUGAGCCACCCAGGUGUCCCUUGAGAGAAUGCAUUUUAGAAGUGUUCAUUUUCUGUUGCUGCUGUAAAAUUUCCUGAGGACCCGAGGCCCUCAGUCCAGCAGUCCAUGAAGAACUGAAUCGUGCCAACCACCAUGUGAAUGAGCUUGGGAUCAGACCCACCCUAUGGAGCUUCAAGAUGCCUACAGCCCUUGCAAAACCCUGAGCAGGGAACCCUGGGAAGCAGCACCCAGAUUUCUGACUUGCAGACACUUGUGUGUGCACCUGACACGACAGCCCUGUGUCUGGCCGGAGUGCCCGUGAGGAGAGCCAACGGUGCCACCACCCCUUCCCAGCUACCUAGAGCCACCCCAGCCCCUCAGUGCCGGACUAGAACGGCCUCCCCUCAGGACUUGGUAAGUAGAAAUAACAUCUCUCUCUUAGAAAAAAUUGUCCCCAAUGAACCUCUGUCCGACUAAACCUUAAUUCCUUACCAAAAGACAGAAAGGCGGGGCACCUGGGUGGCUCCAUCAAUGAAGUGUCUGCCUUCGCCUCAGGUCAUGAUCCUGGGGUCCUGGGAUCGAGUCUGCAGAGUCUGCAUCGGGCUCCCUGCUCAGUGGGGAGU
Canis lupus familiaris (dog) is the source of this 1177-nucleotide long non-coding RNA. RefSeq lists it as uncharacterized. The transcript has 4 exons. Lineage: Eukaryota; Metazoa; Chordata; Mammalia; Carnivora; Canidae. The record is from RefSeq and is a predicted model, not a curated record.